Long non-coding RNA from Nymphalis io (European peacock), 405 nucleotides. RefSeq lists it as uncharacterized. The record is from RefSeq and is a predicted model, not a curated record. NCBI's taxonomy places the organism in Eukaryota, Metazoa, Arthropoda, Insecta, Lepidoptera, Nymphalidae. The transcript is spliced from 2 exons.
GACUCUUAUCGGCGGAUCUUGAUUACUGAAGCCAAUUUAGUGGAACAUUUUAAUUUUUAAUAAACCCGCCUCGCCUACUUGGCCGUUUCAUUUUACGCAAACAUGCCCCGGCAUUCACUUGCUUUAAUUUUUGUUGCGUUUUCGGCGGAUAUUAUUUUUGUGUACAGGAACAAUGAUGAUGAUGAAAUAUAUUAAAAAUGUUAGUUACCCCAUCGUGGCAUUUUAAGCGGCUAUACCGCGCUCAUAUUCAAGCCUUUGGUGUAACAUAACCAUAAUACAAUCCGCUCAUUACAAGAAAAUAUAAAGUGAUAAGGCUGCCUGAACUCGAACGAAUAUAACCGGAUAUUCUAAUGAAUUUACCAAAAUAUAAGUGACAUAAAACUAAGAAAGGAAAUAUUUUAGCAA